CCUCUCUAUUGAGUACAACUGUGGAUAGAUCACAUCUCGCAUUGCACUCAAUAGUGGGGCU
Molecule: microRNA precursor, 61 nt
Filed under: Saccoglossus kowalevskii
Lineage: Eukaryota; Metazoa; Hemichordata; Enteropneusta; Harrimaniidae
Description: Sko-Mir-4818-P2_pre stem-loop
Source: RNAcentral